GAGAUAGGCAGAGCUGUGAGUGCCAAAGGUUUAACAAAAAUUGAUGGGAAAAACUUAACAUUGAGAAAAUUGUAUCUUUGAGCAUAAUUUGGACAAGCUUCCACUAUUCUAUUUUAGUGAAGGAACAUUUCUUUCCAACUUCGGAGUGCCACUGAAGUUCAGUCUGCAGGGAGAGCUGGGUUGGGUGCUGGGGUUAGGGUGGGAGUAGGUGGGAUGGGGUGGGGGUGAGGGAGGUGAGUUUGGAGGAAGUUGGGUAGGGGCUGUGUAUUGGGGAUCUGAGGAAUUUGGGUCUGAUUCUUCAAGCCAUGGUAAGUUGUAGAGUAAAGGAGUGACAAAUGGAAGGGGGAAAUUUGGGAACGACAAACCUGAUGAGGGUGAAGGGUAGGUUGAAGUGCAUCAUAGCAGAGAGGUGAGAGAAAGAGAGCACAGACCUGGCUGAAGAGAUGGGGGAUCAGAAAAAGCAUUCUUCAGAUGCCUUCUUGUCCCGGCUCAGAACACCCCAAAGCUCAGAGGAACAGGACUGGGUUCACAAGGAAGAACAGGGAAGCUGUCUGGGCUAUCAACACUCUUCAGUGUCUUGGAAUCAACCCAGCAUGUCCUGCUGCUGCUGCUUUCUGCCUCUGCUAGCUUGGAUCCGGUAGGAAGAACAGAGUUUUACAUUCCUUCAGUGAGUAAUUGACAAAGCUCCACACCAGGUGUGAGUGGGGGGGUGGGGAGGCUCAUAUUUGCUCCUCCCCUGACUUCUUCCCCACCCUCCCUCCUUCUAGGCACACCAGGGAUUUGUUCAUCAGGGCUGAUCUUGAAUGGUGGAGAUAGAUUCAAGCCAUUUUGAGCCCAGGUCCAGGGUAAACAAGUAACAGAAUCCUGUAGGCUGUUACAUUUGUUGUUUUAAAAAGACUUGGUACAUUAUUUGUAAGGGAGUGCCGUGGGAAGUAAAAUAGUUCUUUCAGCUGGCAGGCAUGCCUAUCUGUCAUGAUACUUAAAAAAAAUUAAACUUAUGGCCUAAUUCCAAUCAGAGAGGUUUCAGAUAUUUAAUAAUCUCAUUUGUUACAGUUUCUCCAAAAGCAUUUGUUUUUGUUAAGUUUUAAAAUCAAUCUUCUCCAUUCACCCUAAUUGGGAGUUACAAAGACAUUUUAAAUUGUAAAAUCAUUCUAUAUCCAUUGUAUACAGUUAGGGAAAUAUAAAAAAUAAUUACAAAUAAACUAAACAUCCAUCAUUCUAGAAAUGAAUACUGUUAACAUUUAAGCAUAUUUCCUCCCUGUCUUUUUUUCUUGCUGUUUUACAUAAUGGAGAUUUUAAAAGAUAAAAAGCUUUGUAUUUUUUCCUAGUAUUAUGUCAUAGGAGUGGCUCUAGGUUAUUAAACAUUCUUCAAAAACUCAAUUUUUAAAGUUUGCUUAGUAUGUCUUCUUAUAGCUAUAAUAUGAUUUGCUUGUUUCCCUAAUGUUGAUUGAGUAUUAGGCUGUUUCCAAUUUUUUGAGGUUAAAAAAAACACUACCGUGAAUAUCUUUGUGUGUGUGUGUGUGUGUGUGUGUGUGUGUUUGUGUGUGUUUUAGUAUAGGUAUGACAGUAGGCGAUCUGGCUACAUUCUGUUGCCUAUUUUAGAUGGGGAUAGGACUGCCCCCUUGCCAUUAUGAAUGACAGCUGUCAGCCAAAGAGAGGGCUGCGCUAGAGACUGUCAAUCUGGCUCCUGGGAGAAGGGAUAACACUCAGCACAGGAAUGUUGUAAACACGUUAGGGAGGUCUUGCAAUUCCACUUUGAAAUGGAGGAACCUAAACUACAAUCCAUUUUCACAUGAGGUCGGGUUUGUUCAGGGUGGUAUGGCCAUAGAUAACAAUCCAUUUUCAAAGGAAACAGAGGUUUUCAAAAAGCCUUUUGAAUGGACUGGGCUAGUAUUGUGUGAUUUUUAAAUUAAAUUACACAUGUUAAAAAUGGGCGAUCUAAUGAAAUAGAGAAUAGAGGUUACUUUGAAUGAUAAACUAGUAGGAAUAGUAUUCGUGAAGUUCCAGGCAGGCUGACUUCCUUGGUGAGUUCACCGGGGUGACAGGACGAGUGUUGGAGUUGGCAAAGCAGAAUUCUAAUACCAGCUGGGCCAUAUUGGGCAGGUUGCUUGAUGUCUCUGAGCCUCAGAUUCCCCACUAACAAAAUGAGGCUGAUAAUGACACUAAUAUUUCUCACCUGCAGUUUGUUGUUGAGAGGAUUUAAACACCAAGGGAGGAUCAGUAAAUGGCAGCUAAGGCUGUGCCCUAAGGGAUGGCUGAGGCUUGUUCUUAACCCAGAAUUCAAAAUAGGCCUGCCUGACCUCAGGACAGCGCAACACAAGAGACUUGCACGUACAGAACAUGGAUGUAAAGAGGGAAUCCUGGGUUAUAGUUUCAGAAUCCACUGUGGGGAUCUUAAACCCUCUCUCUUCAGCCUUUAAUAAAUGAUUUAAUUUGCACACUGGACAGUUCAACACUAUUUUUUUUUUUUUUUUUUUUUUGCCCCAGCCUGUGAAAAGGGACGGGGUUGGGCUAAGGCAACGUUGAAACAUUGCAUUCCUCUGCCAGAAGCUUAAAAACCCUGCAAUCAAACCCGAGGCCCUAUGCGGAAACAAGUGUAUCCGAUGACAGCUUAUUAUGGAAGGUUCUGAACUUCUAAGAAUUCCUUAGUAGGAGACAAACAAAAUACAAAGAUAUCCUCCUAAUUUUCUGCGACUGGGAAUUUUUGUUUUUCUCUUCCUCACUUCUCCCAUCCAUUCUGCAUGUUUGUUAAAAUGUAGGCACACAGGGUCCACGGUGUGUGGUACUUGAGUGGGCAAAAGGCUAGUUCAGCUGGCCAGCGAGGCAGACAAGACGUGGUUCAACACACGCAUUGCUGGGAGCUGGGACUUCUCCUUCAUUAGUUAAACAUGGGCAUGAAGUAAAGAUUUCUGGUGUGUGUGUCUGUGUGUUUUCAAACGGCAGGUUCAGCACUUCUAAGUACAUAGCAUGAUAGGAAGAGAAGUCUGUAAUCACCUCUCAUGUCUGGGGUCCUGAUGGGCCCAGAGCAGAUUUGAUUUACGUUAUCUUCAAGCGGGAAACUUGUCAUCCAGUCUUCAUUUGCCCUUCUCUCUGGGCAGGAAAGAGCUCCAUUUUUCCCGCUCCACAGAGGACAUUUUAUUUUUGCAGUUCUUUGAAGUGCCCUCAGAGAUCUAAGCACCAGGCUGAAGGCAGCUCUGUGUAUCCUUGCAACAGAUUAGAACAUAUUCACAUUUUAUUUGCUCACAGAACAAAUAUUUCCCUUGGAAUGAGACCGAGGCAGUGGAGCAGGACCAGGCAGGACCAGCCACCAAAGACGGCCCCCCAGGCCCCAUGCUGGGCCUGCUCAGCGCCUGCACAAUUGGUUCCACAUAAUUGCUUCUCCACACUCACCUCAUUUAGGCCCUAUAGACACAUAUGGGCUGAUUAGUUGAGUCAUUUAUUGAUUCAGGAAUAUUUGUCGAGCCUCAACAAUGUACCAAACACUAUGCUGGUUACAGAAAUAAAGAGAGAAACACAUUCUGUCCUCAAGGGGCUCCUAAUCAAGUAGGGGAGAGAAGCAAUGUCUGUAUAUUAAUGAAUCAAAUCAAGGUGACAAAGAUAAGGCUUCAGAACCCAGGAGACAAAGUGUUUGAGGUAGGUCAUUAUUCUGUCUGUGUGUUGCGGGGUGUGUGGGCAAGGGUGAGGCGUGUGGGGUGGUGUGGAUAUGGUGUGCAUGGGCCUCUGUGUGUGUAGGUUAUGUGUAUGUGGUGUGUGUGGUGUGGGGAGUGUGUUUGUGUAUGGGAGUGUGUAUGUGUCUGUGGUGACAGUGGUGAAUAUGUGUGUGGGUAUGGUAGUGAUGGUACUAGGUGGUGUUUAGUGCAUGUCCUGUGAGAAUUGUGUGUAGGUAUAGGGAUGUGUGUGUAUAGUGGUGAUGGUGGUGUGUGGUGUGGGGGGGUGUGUGUGGUGGAGAGAGUGUGUGUAUGAGAGUGUGUAUGUAGUGAGUGAUGGUGGUGAAUGUGUGUAGUGGUGAUGGUGGUGUUUGUGUGGUGUGGGGUGUGUGUGUGUAGUGGUGAUGGUGGUGUUUGUGUGGUGUGGGGGGUGUGUGUGUGUGGUGAGUGGUGGUGAAUGUGUGUGUAGUGGUGAUGGUAUGUGUGGUGUGGGGGGUGUGUGUGGGGGGUGAGUGGUGGUGGUGUAUGUUUGGUGUGUGUGGUGUGUGUGUGUGGUGAGUGGUGGUGAAUGUGUGUGUGUAGUGGUGACGGUAUGUGUGGUGUGGGGUGAGUGGUGAUGGUGGUUGUGUGGUGUGUGUGUGUGUGUGUGGUGAGUGGUGGUGAAUGUGUGUGUGUAGUGGUGACGGUAUGUGUGGUGUGGGGUGAGUGGUGAUGGUUGUGUGGUGUGUGUGUGUGUGUGUGUGGUGAGUGGUGGUGAAUGUGUGUGUGUAGUGGUGAUGGUAUGUGUGGUGUGGGGGGUGUGUGUGUGGUGAGUGGUGGUGGUGAAUAUGUGUGUGUAGUGGUGAUGGUGGUAUGUUUGUGUGGUGUGUGUGUGGUGUGGGGUGUGUGUGUGUGGUGAGUGGUGGGGUGGUGGUGAAUGUGUGUAGUGGUGAUGGUGGUGUUUGUGUGGUGUGGGGGGUGUUUGUGUGGUGUGGGGUGUGUGUGUGUAGUGGUGAUGGUGGUGUUUGUGUGGUGUGGGGGGUGUUUGUGUGGUGUGGGGUGUGUGUGCGUGGUGAGUGGUGGUGGUGAAUGUGUGUAUAGUGGUGAUGGUGUUUGUGUGGUGCGGGGUGUGUGUGUGUAGUGGUGAUGGUGGUGUUUGUGUGGUGUGGGGGGUGUGUGUGUGUGUGUGGUGUGGGGUGUGUGUGUGUGGUGAGUGGUGGUGGUGAAUGUGUGUGUGGUAGUGAUGGGGCAGGCUGAGGGCUGAGCCAGAGAAGGCAUGGAGAUGAGACAACUCCAGAGGGUAUGUAAGGGGAGGUGAGUGGUGGGAGGUGAGCUAGGAAGGCAUUUUUAAUGUUGACCCAUACUCUCUAAUCAAGACAAUGACAGUUUUGCAGCUGUUCCUCUUCCUAAGCUCAUGUGAGGAUUUUGGGUUAGAAUCACUGUGUUCUUCUCCGCAGGCCGAAGCUCCCUAGCGCUGGGGCCUCCACUCUGGGAAGGGCCCUGUGGGUGAAUCUCUGAGCGUUUACUGGGCUCCUUCUCUACCUGGGCUGCCGCACCCAGAACAGUUCUUAGAGUUUCCAGCCUCCUGAGCUCGCGGAAUAGCAAAGGUGGGUUCUACUGGACUUGGGGCAGAGGAGGUCUAAAUGUGAGAAUCCCUGAGGCAAAUGUUAGAAGAAAGGGCAGUGCGGCCGGGCAGGGGAUCUCCAGCUCUCUCACAAUGCAUGGCUGCCCUGGCUAGAUCUGGGCUGUGUGGAGCUGUUUAAACAACGAACAAGGGGCCAGGCACGGUGGCUCACGCCUGUAAUCCCAGCACUUUGGGAGGCCAAGGCGGGAUGGAUCACCCGAGUUCAGGAGUUUGAGACCAGUCUGGCCUAUGUGGUAAAACCCCGUCUCUACUAAAAAUACAAAAAUUAGCUGGGCGUGGUGGCGCAUACCUGUAAUCCCAGCUACUCGGAAGGCGGAGGCAGGGGAAUUGCUUGAACCCGGGAGGCGGAGGUUGCAGUGAGCCAAGAUCAUGCCACUGCACCCCAGCCUGGGCGAUAACAGCGAGACUCCGUCUCAAAAAAGAAAACAACAACAGCAACAAACGAAUAAGGAGGCAGAUGUCAGGGGUUGGCUUUCUUCCCCAAAUUUUGGUUUGCUUUUUGUUACUCUCCCCUUACUGGAUAGGGUCAAAGCUGCCUCAUGAUUAAGUGUUGGCCAGAUAAGAAUGAUUUAUUUCCAUUUUACUAGACAGGGACUGGAAACACAGAAAGUCUAAAGAUUGCAAGAUACUAGUCAUGUUGUCUCAGGUCAUUUUCGUGGUUACCUGUGAGGUAAAGGUUUUCUGGUAUCGUCCCCAUUUGACAAAUGGGGAAAUUAGGGCUGAGAGAGGUAAAGUCACUAGCACAAAACCACUCAAGCUUUUCCGUGAGUUCCUCAUCACUGAUUGUCUAACUGAAAUUUGAACCCAAGUCUUUUUGGCACCAAAGACCAUGUUUUUUUCAUAAUGCUUCCUGAAGUUUAUGAGGCAGCAUGGUUUGGCUAAAUGAUGGUGGUUUUCUUCUUUUUUCUUUUUUUUUUUUUUUUUUGAGACGGAGUUUUGCUCUUGUUGCCCAGGCUGGAGUGCAAUGGCACCAUCUCAGCUCACUGCAAUCUC
Molecule: long non-coding RNA, 6264 nt
Filed under: Homo sapiens (human)
Lineage: Eukaryota; Metazoa; Chordata; Mammalia; Primates; Hominidae
Description: HSALNT0316819
Source: RNAcentral